This 449-nucleotide ribosomal RNA is filed under the name uncultured bacterium. RNAcentral's name for it is "bacterial SSU rRNA". It matches the Rfam family "Bacterial small subunit ribosomal RNA", at positions 328 to 793 of the family's 1533-position model. The record is from RNAcentral.
UGUCCAGACUCCUACGGGAGGCAGCAGUGGGGGAUAUUGCACAAUGGGGGAAACCCUGAUGCAGCGACGCCGCGUGUGGGAAGACGGUCCUCUGGAUUGUAGACCACUGUCCCCAGGGACGAAGAUGACGGUACCUGGGGAGGAAGCUCCGGCUAACUACGUGCCAGCAGCCGCGGUAAUACGUAGGGAGCAAGCGUUGUCCGGAAUUACUGGGUGUAAAGGGAGCGUAGACGGCGGUGCAAGCCAGAUGUGAAAGCCCGGGGCUCAACCCCGGGACUGCAUUUGGAACUGUGCUGCUAGAGUGUCGGAGAGGCAGGCGGAAUUCCUAGUGUAGCGGUGAAAUGCGUAGAUAUUAGGAGGAACACCAGUGGCGAAGGCGGCCUGCUGGACGAUGACUGACGUUGAGGCCCGAAAGCGUGGGGAGCAAACAGGAUUAGAUACCCUGGUAA